RNAcentral lists this ribosomal RNA (1539 nucleotides) under Triticum aestivum (bread wheat). RNAcentral's name for it is "partial small subunit ribosomal RNA". The record is from RNAcentral. Lineage: Eukaryota; Viridiplantae; Streptophyta; Magnoliopsida; Poales; Poaceae.
AUGGCAACAAAUGAUCCUUUUUGUGUGAUGCAGAAGAAGAAGCGUCGGUGCAAAAGGGCUUUGCAAGAACGCCUGACUAUACUGACAGAGGGAUUUACUGAUGAGCAGAAGGCAGCUGCUGGUGAGAUGGGUAUGCAGGCUCUGAUGAAGGUUCGGUGCACGAACCUAGUAAACCCUGUAUGCGACUGGCUCGGUGAAAUAUAUGAGCCUGUGUCUAGGGAAUUCAUGAUUCCGGGGCGUGGAAGACUUCCUUUGAAUGAGGAAUCUGUGUUCUGGACAUUGGGUGUCCCCUGUGGAGAAAUCAAAGUCCCUUAUGAGGUGAACAAUAAGAUCAAGGAAGCUUUGUUCGCUCGUUUGUUUCCUCGAAUGGCAUCCAUGCCUAAUACGAAUGUACUGGCAACUUCGUUGGAGGGGAUGACAAUCCAUGUCGAGGUUUUUAAGAUGAAGUUGCUCAUGUACUUGAUCUCGGCUGUAUUUGCGCCUACCACAUCUCUUCGCCCAAGCGACAUGUGCUUCCCUAUCCUGGCGAAGCUGAAAGAUGUUAAAAACAUGAAUUGGUGUAAAUUCAUUGCCGACUUCCUGCAUGAUGCAUUCUCAAAUAAGAUGUACCAAAAGGGAUGUCGCUUGCAUCUAAUGAUAGGAGGCCAGCCGCCUCCACAUAAGUUUGUUGUCUCUGCAUGGACGUAUGAUGUUGUCAAGGCUGUACUUGCUGCAGACAGGAUAUCUGAUACAAAAUAUGGGAAACUGCAGCUAAUGGCCAAGCAUGCUAUAGACUACAAUAUGUUUGGUGGGCCACAAAACUUUGGCAAGUGGAUGGAUGUGCAUUCAGCUCCAUCUUGUCCCGCUGAGGCGAGGGCACAUGUUGAGCACUUAGUUGGGCAGUUCGCUUCCGGCAUGAUCAGUUUGCUUGGGAAGUUGAUCGUGGGUUGGACAACACUUAAUGGUUCUAAUAGCGACGCGGUUGCGAAGCACUUCGCAUCAUUUAUUGGAGACGGACACAUUGUCCAACUGGUUGUCGUGGCCGAUGGUGAUGGUUUUGAUGGCAUGGAUGCUGGUCUCGACAAGGACAAUGACGAUGACAUGGAGAAUGUGCCGCAUGAAAGUGACCAUGAUGAACAUCACGAAGAUCGUGUAGGAGGCAAGAACAAUAAGGCUGCACCGAAAGUUCCUCUAUCGGAGGGAGGCAUUGAUUCAAAUGUUGCGAGAGACACGGGGGUUUCGCUCUCAAAGAGGGGCAGGGCUCCAGAGGAUGCUGGCCAAGGCAAUGUUGGGAAGAGGUGUAGGACUGAUCGCGUAGCUGCUAGGAGGAGUGAGGCGACAGCUGGUGGACGAUCAGUUAAGCAAAAACAAGCACCUAUGCCAACCCGUGUUUCUGCCCGGUUGAACAAGGGGGCUCCUGCUGCUGGUGCCACCACCUCCACUAGGUCGUCUCCUCGCACAUCAACGUCCAACACCGGGGAUCCUGUCGUGCUGGAAGACUUGAGGAAGACAACCAAGAAGUGGGUUCUCCCUGUCUAUUUUAUCUACCUUUUUUUGUGA